RNAcentral lists this non-coding RNA (190 nucleotides) under uncultured Prevotella sp. The record is from RNAcentral. Lineage: Bacteria; Pseudomonadati; Bacteroidota; Bacteroidia; Bacteroidales; Prevotellaceae.
GGUGCACUUAGCUGUGCUUAAUUGGGAACUGGAGUGUGAAUCUCCGACUGUCCCGCAGCAGUGAACUCCGUUAUGGCUCCUAGACAAAGCUUGAAUGCAUUCGGCUUUGUUCUCGCUAAAUCACGCCAUUGCCCAUUUGGGUGAGAAGGCGCUUGGGAGUGGAGGAAAGUCUGAAGACCAGCCUUUUUCG